Homo sapiens (human) is the source of this 664-nucleotide long non-coding RNA. Lineage: Eukaryota; Metazoa; Chordata; Mammalia; Primates; Hominidae. The record is from Ensembl.
ACUCGACUCUGGGACUAUGAGGCAGUUCAUCCACACGCUCCAAACUCCAGCUUAUUGUAGGAGACCAGUGCCUCGAUCUCAUGAGGUCAUCUCGACGCCUCAGCUGUAACCCUUGGAGAACCUGUGGUCUCUGCUCCUCUGCCUGCUGACAUGAUCAUCCCAGGUGCAAAACAGGUAUGAGCCACUGGCAUUCCUGCGCGCCAGUCUUCCAUCCUCUUUUCCUCGAGGGACCCACCGGCCAACCAGAUGUGCUGUUGUCCUGAGAACUGGCUCCACAUUUUGUGAGAUGUUUAAAGUCCAGGGAGGUCACUUAUAAGGAGGCACCUCUGUUCUCCAGGUGCACACACAAAGCCUCCCGUUAUCCGGUCUUGCACGUGCGUCCUUAGGGGCCAGCACCCUGGCUGCCUUCCAGAGUCUGCCCGGCUUUUCCAUCCCAUCUCUGCUCCCGAAGGCAUCCCGCUGCGGUCCUGGGCAUCUUGCACAGAAGCCCCUGCAAAUACCUACUUACAUAAGCCACGUACACGUUCUGUGCUAUUCCACGGUGGCUCUUGGUGCAAUUUGUUUUUAUUUCCUGCAAGCAGACUUUUCUUAUUACUUAACCUUUUUGGCCCCACAUUUCUUUAAUCUGCAAAAUGUGGCAAUGGAACCCGAUCAGAGAUCUUCA